This is a long non-coding RNA of Canis lupus familiaris (dog), 1802 nucleotides long. RefSeq lists it as uncharacterized. NCBI's taxonomy places the organism in Eukaryota, Metazoa, Chordata, Mammalia, Carnivora, Canidae. The transcript is spliced from 5 exons. The record is from RefSeq and is a predicted model, not a curated record.
GUCAAAACAAAUGAAGCUACAUGCAGCAGUACGCAUGAAUCUCAACAACACAAUUGUGACAAAAGUGAAAUACAAAAGGACAGUUGGGAUUUGGAGACUAGGAUGAACAGGUGAAAUACACAUCUAUUAGGCAUUCCAGAAAGCAAAACGGAGAGAUGCAAGAGCAUGAUUUAGAGAACAAAGGGAGGGAGGGAAUGUUCAAGGCCAUAAUGGCUGAGGAUUUCCCAGUAUUGAAGAUAAACAUAAGACCUUGGAUUAAAGAAAUAUACCAAGUUCCAAACAGGCUUUGUCAAGAUCCUCUCCUUUCUUUCUCCUGGCACUGCCUUGCCUGGUAACCCUAUUCGGGGCCCUACGAUGACCGUCCACGGUACUCUGCACUGGACUUGGCAUUUCCUUAUAUUAGAUGGUCGACCAGUUGCAAGAAAAUGACCCUUUUCCUGUCUGCAAUUCCCUUGCACUAUGGGGCACAAGAGGCCUAGCUUUCAGCCUGUCUUGGCUUUUAAGAUGUUUUCCCCACUACACUGAAUCAUUUCUAGGUACCAAUUUAAGGAAAUAAGGAAGGCCAAGGAGAGGGACAGAGAUGCAAGAAUAGCCAUUCGGUGGGCCGGUCUGAACGUAACAUUUGUUGAUUAAGUUCACUGUCUGACAUGGGCGUGAUUUAUGGUGCCCCCCAAACCAUUACAGUAGCAACAGCGAAGAUCCCUGGUCACCAUAACAAAUAUAGUGAUGAUGAAAAAGUUGGGAAUAUUGCAAGAAUUAUCAAAAUGUGACACAGAGACAUGAAGAGAGCAAAUGCUAUUGGGAAAAUGGCACUGAUAGACCCUCUCGAUGCAGAGUUGCCGCAGACCUACAAUUUGUCAAAACAAAACAACAUAAAAACCCCACAGUAUCUGCAAAGUGCAAUAAAAUGAAGCACAGUCAAAUGAGAUAUGUUUGUGUAUUAAAUCCUUCUUAGAUGCCAUUUAAACUUGCCUUUUACCCCAAGGCUGAUAGAAGCUGAAGUUUUAGCAACUCUAAGCCCCUUUAAAGAUUGAUUGAUUGAUUUGAUUUGAUUUGAUUUUAAACAGAGAGAGAGAGCAUGGGGGGGAGGGAGCCAGAAUUUCAAGCAGACUCUACGUUGAGGACAGAAACAGAAGCAAGGCUUGAUCUCACGACCCUUAGAUCAUAACCUGAGCCUAAACCAAGAGUCAGACACGUAACCCACUGUACCACCCAGGGGCCCCUAAACCCCUUUAGAAGAGAUGAUUCUAGGGAAAAAAAGGUUCUGUAAUUCUGUACAGUGACAGGUGUAAACGAGAUGUAUUGUGGUGUUCAUUUGCAAAUAUCCAUGCAUUACGUUGUAUACCUGCAACAAAUAUAACGUUGUAUGUCGUUUAUACCUCAAUAAAGAAAUAAAGAAAAGAGAUGAACACAUCAUAAAAUCCAAGCUUAGAAAAGACUUCAGAAAGAAUCUAUUCUGGCUUAACCUUUUUGGUUUACAGGUAGAGGAACUGAGGUCUGGACAGGCAAAUGAUGUAUUAUUCCUUUCACAUAUUUUUGAAUUUCAUUUUCUAAUAUUUUGUUAAGGAUUUUUGAGUUUAUGUUCAUGAGGAAUACGGCUCCAGUUUUCUUGUACUGUCUUUGGUUUUGGUAUCAGGGCGAUUCUGAAUUUAUUAGACUAAAAUGAGGCGAAAGGUGUUCCCUACCUUUUGUAUUUCCUGUAAAAUUUGUGUUGAAUUCAUAGUAUUUUUCCUGUAACCGUUUGUUUGAAUUCUUAGAUGAAAUUUUGUGGGCCUGGGGUCUUCAUUACGGGAAGAUUUUUA